GAAGGAAGGACUGGGAGCAGGAGCUGCAGAGGCAGCUGGGAGGUUGUGUCUGCCAGGCAGGCUGAUGGGAGUCUUCCCUCCUUGGUCCUAGAUCACACGCCGCUAUGCUGAGUUCUCCUCUGCACUGGUCAGCAUCAACCAGACCAUCCCCAAUGAACGCACCCUGCAGCUGCUGGGACAGCUACAGGUGGAGGUGGAGAAUUUUGUCCUCCGAGUGGCUGCAGAGUUCUCCUCCAGGAAGGAGCAGCUUGUGUUUCUGAUCAACAACUACGACAUGAUGCUGGGUGUGCUGAUGGAGCAGGCUGCUGACGACAGCAAAGAGGUGGAGAGUUUCCAGCAGCUGCUCAAUGCUCGGACACAGG
Microtus oregoni (creeping vole) is the source of this 362-nucleotide long non-coding RNA. RefSeq lists it as uncharacterized. The record is from RefSeq and is a predicted model, not a curated record. Lineage: Eukaryota; Metazoa; Chordata; Mammalia; Rodentia; Cricetidae. The transcript is spliced from 3 exons.